UCCGGUUUGUCACCGGCAGUCUCUCUAGAGUGCCCAACUAAAUGAUGGCAACUAAAGAUAAGGGUUGCGCUCGUUGCGGGACUUAACCCAACAUCUCACGACACGAGCUGACGACAACCAUGCACCACCUGUCACCAUUGUCCCCGAAGGGAAAGCUAUGUCUCCAUAGCGGUCAAUGGGAUGUCAAGACCUGGUAAGGUUCUUCGCGUUGCUUCGAAUUAAACCACAUGCUCCACCGCUUGUGCGGGCCCCCGUCAAUUCCUUUGAGUUUCAGUCUUGCGACCGUACUCCCCAGGCGGAGUGCUUAAUGCGUUAGCUGCAGCACUGAGGGGCGGAAACCCCCCAACACUUAGCACUCAUCGUUUACGGCGUGGACUAC
This 379-nucleotide unclassified non-coding RNA is filed under the name uncultured Caryophanaceae bacterium. Its description in RNAcentral is "uncultured Planococcaceae bacterium contains 16S-23S intergenic spacer region". The record is from RNAcentral. Lineage: Bacteria; Bacillati; Bacillota; Bacilli; Caryophanales; Caryophanaceae.